AACGACAUAUUUUAAUCUGGAAGAAAGACUACGUGCUCUGCAAGCAUGAGGUGGGCUAGGCUCUGUCGUUA
This 71-nucleotide transfer RNA is filed under the name Calicophoron microbothrioides. RNAcentral's name for it is "tRNA-Ala". The record is from RNAcentral. Lineage: Eukaryota; Metazoa; Platyhelminthes; Trematoda; Plagiorchiida; Paramphistomidae.